RNAcentral lists this ribosomal RNA (750 nucleotides) under uncultured bacterium. Its description in RNAcentral is "bacterial SSU rRNA". It matches the Rfam family "Bacterial small subunit ribosomal RNA", at positions 1 to 757 of the family's 1533-position model. The record is from RNAcentral.
UAGAGUUUGAUCCUGGCUCAGAUUGAACGCUGGCGGCAGGCUUAACACAUGCAAGUCGAACGAUGACUCUCUAGCUUGCUAGAGAUGAUUAGUGGCGGACGGGUGAGUAACAUUUAGGAAUCUGCCUAGUAGUGGGGGAUAGCUCGGGGAAACUCGAAUUAAUACCGCAUACGACCUACGGGUGAAAGGGGGCGCAAGCUCUUGCUAUUAGAUGAGCCUAAAUCAGAUUAGCUAGUUGGUGGGGUAAAGGCCCACCGAGGCGACGAUCUGUAACUGGUCUGAGAGGAUGAUCAGUCACACCGGAACUGAGACACGGUCCGGACUCCUACGGGAGGCAGCAGUGGGGAAUAUUGGACAAUGGGGGCAACCCUGAUCCAGCCAUGCCGCGUGUGUGAAGAAGGCCUUUUGGUUGUAAAGCACUUUAAGCAGGGAGGAGAGGCUAAUGGUUAAUACCCAUUAGAUUAGACGUUACCUGCAGAAUAAGCACCGGCUAACUCUGUGCCAGCAGCCGCGGUAAUACAGAGGGUGCGAGCGUUAAUCGGAAUUACUGGGCGUAAAGCGAGUGUAGGUGGCUCAUUAAGUCACAUGUGAAAUCCCCGGGCUUAACCUGGGAACUGCAUGUGAUACUGGUGGUGCUAGAAUAUGUGAGAGGGAAGUAGAAUUCCAGGUGUAGCGGUGUAAUGCGUAGAGAUCUGGAGGAAUACCGAUGGCGAAGGCAGCUUCCUGGCAUAAUAUGACACUGAGAUCGAG